Molecule: small nuclear RNA, 163 nt
Organism: Ornithorhynchus anatinus (platypus)
Lineage: Eukaryota; Metazoa; Chordata; Mammalia; Monotremata; Ornithorhynchidae
Product: U1 spliceosomal RNA
Exons: 1
Source: RefSeq, a predicted model, not a curated record
CUACUCACCUAGAAGUGGAAAUACCAUGGUUAUGAAAGUGGUUUUCCUGUGGGGAGGCUCAUCAUCUGAACUUCAGGUGUGCUGACUCUUAUGUUUUCCCUAAAUAUGGGAAACUUGACUUUAUGAUUUAUGGCAGUGGGGAAUUGUGUUUGUCAUCUCCCCU